Molecule: long non-coding RNA, 428 nt
Organism: Dermacentor andersoni
Lineage: Eukaryota; Metazoa; Arthropoda; Arachnida; Ixodida; Ixodidae
Source: RefSeq, a predicted model, not a curated record
GGCGCGCAGAGAGAGAGAGAGAAAGAGACAAAAAAAAUGAAGGAGGAAAAGGCCCUCACACUCCUCCGAGCGCGCACGCCCUCGCGCGCGGAGCUCCUGCGCAUGCUCGGAGCUCUUGCGCAUGCGCGGCGGUGCGCCGUCUCAACGAGUGCGCCAGGCACGUAAACGGUUGUACCGGUGUGCGGUGUAUGCCUGAACGUCGGUGUCUGUGUAUGCGUGUCAUCUUUGUGGCAUCACACGUCAACUACACUGAACGCAUACACCUGCAGCACCUUUGGGACUAAUGACACAAAGGUCAAGGCCAGCCUGGCGACCAUGCUUGCCAAGGAGUAGUGUAAAUAUGUAAUCUGUUUCCAUAAUUAGCAUAAGACAUGAAUUUAAGGAAUUCAUAUAUUAUAUCGAGCAAUAAAAACGGUUAAUGCAUUGCC